CCUAAUUUUAAUAUGUUGUCACUGAUGACAAAAUGGAGGUCAAGUUCAAUAAUGACGAUUUUGACUUUUACCGUUCAGGAGUUAUGGUUCUUCAAAGAUUGAAAAAUGGUGUUUCCAGUCGUGUCCGUGCAUUUUCUCAUGAACCAUUCAACCAAAGCUUUUGAAAUUUUUAUAUGUUGUUACUGAGGACAAAAUAAAGGUCAAGUUCAAUAAUGACGAUUCUGAAUUUUACCUUUCAGGAGUUAUGGUUCUUGAAAGAUCGUAAAAUGGCGUUUCCAUUCACGCUGUUGCAUUUACUCAUGAACCAUUCAAUCUAAGCUUUUCAAAUUUUUAUAUGUUGAUACUGAUGACAAAAUGGAGGUCAAAUUUGAUAUUGACGAUUUUCACUUUCACCAUUCAUCAGUAAUGGUUCUUGUGAUAUUGCCAGGACACAAAUAAAUGUUAAUUAAUCCGGUUUGCUGUCGUUGUGACAGCCUCUUGUUUAAUUUACUUU
Molecule: long non-coding RNA, 493 nt
Filed under: Mytilus galloprovincialis (Mediterranean mussel)
Lineage: Eukaryota; Metazoa; Mollusca; Bivalvia; Mytilida; Mytilidae
Source: RNAcentral